UGCAGACUGCAAGUGGUCCCAGAGGACCGAAACUCAGUAACUUUCACAGUCUGGGGACAGAGUCUCUUUCAGAAAGACCAGAUCUCAGUUUGGAGCUCAAGAGCAGGUGAAGAGGAAGACUACUCAAAAAAUUAUAAAGAGGCACAGAGAAAAUGCCACAAAAUACAGGAACAAUAAGACUACACAUACGAGAUUGAUGGAAACCCAGGGUUGAAAGGGGUCACCAGACAGUCAAAUCAGAAAAAAAAAUCACCCAACGCCAGGUGAAGAAGGUGCACAAUACAGAUUUCUCAAGACCGAUCCAGAGAAACGUCUUCGCCCCCCGCCCCCCGACUUGAAAGCCCAAACUACAUUCUCCCUUCCCCACGCUAAUGCGGGGAGAUUUUACCCUAUUUCAUUGUUCUGCCUGGGUCUGAAAUGGACUUUUCAUCUCUUCGCCCCCUCACCGCCUGGCCCCAAACGAUCCGAUCCCACAGCCCCCCAAAAUCGGAGGCUCGCGAAGAAUAAAGGAGUGUGG
Long non-coding RNA from Marmota flaviventris (yellow-bellied marmot), 517 nucleotides. RefSeq lists it as uncharacterized. NCBI's taxonomy places the organism in Eukaryota, Metazoa, Chordata, Mammalia, Rodentia, Sciuridae. The record is from RefSeq and is a predicted model, not a curated record.